UACGUAGGGGGCAAGCGUUGUCCGGAUUUAUUGGGCGUAAAGCGCUCGCAGGUGGUCACGUGCGUCGUGCGUGAAAGACCCCGGCUCAACUGGGGAGGGUCACGCGAUACUGAUCGACUCGAAGGCAGGAGAGGGUAGUGGAAUUCCCGGUGUAGUGGUGAAAUGCGUAGAUAUCGGGAGGAACACCAGUGGCGAAGGCGACUACCUGGCCUGUUCUUGACGCUGAGGCGCGAAAGCUAGGGGAGCAAACGGG
Molecule: ribosomal RNA, 253 nt
Filed under: uncultured bacterium
Lineage: Bacteria
Description: partial 16S ribosomal RNA
Rfam family: Bacterial small subunit ribosomal RNA
Source: RNAcentral